CCUACGGGCGGCAGCAGUGAGGAAUAUUGGUCAAUGGGCGGAAGCCUGAACCAGCCAAGUAGCGUGCAGGAUGACGGCCCUACGGGUUGUAAACUGCUUUUAUACGGGAAUAACGCGCCUUACGUGUAGGGCUUUGCAUGUACCGUAUGAAUAAGGACCGGCUAAUUCCGUGCCAGCAGCCGCGGUAAUACGGAAGGUACGGGCUUUCUCCGGCUUUAUUGGGGUUAAAAGGAGCGUGGGCGGCAUGUCAAGGGUACUGUUAAAUGUCCGGGCCCAACCCGGGCCUUGCCGCGGCAACUGGCGUGCUUGAGUCCGCGGAAAGCAGGCGGAAGUCGUGGUGGAGCGGUGAAAUGCUUAGAUAUGACGAAGAACCCCGAUUGCGAAGGCAGCUUGCUGCAGCGGAACUGACGCUGAUGCUCGAAAGCGCGGGUAUCGAACAGGAUUAGAUACCCUUGUAGUC
This 460-nucleotide ribosomal RNA is filed under the name uncultured bacterium. Its description in RNAcentral is "partial 16S ribosomal RNA". It matches the Rfam family "Bacterial small subunit ribosomal RNA", at positions 338 to 795 of the family's 1533-position model. The record is from RNAcentral.